UCCUGGUUAUAACCUGAGACAUGACCUGGUUAUAACCUGGUUAUAUCCUGAGACAUUACCUGGUUAUAACCAGGUAAUAACCUGGUUCCAACCAGGUAAUGUCUCAGCAUAAUAU
Molecule: non-coding RNA, 115 nt
Organism: Xyrichtys novacula (pearly razorfish)
Lineage: Eukaryota; Metazoa; Chordata; Actinopteri; Labriformes; Labridae
Source: the annotation of a GenBank genome assembly